Molecule: long non-coding RNA, 1439 nt
Organism: Equus caballus (horse)
Lineage: Eukaryota; Metazoa; Chordata; Mammalia; Perissodactyla; Equidae
Source: RefSeq, a predicted model, not a curated record
GCACCGAGUGUGGGACCCACCAGGAUCUUCUGCAGGGAGGGAUGCCGGGGAGGUGGUUCCCAAAGGAAAGGAUGCUGGGGUGACAGACACCUAUGUCUCCUCUCUUGCGAGCCUUCUCUAACAUUCCCUGAAGAGUCAAGUGCUUCCUCCUAAGGGCUUCCAGAAGUCCUCAUUAAUAUCUCUCUCCCAGCUUGGGUUACUUUACUGUGUUUUUUGGAUUAUAUGUCUUCUCAUCCAUCGGAUGGUGACUGUGAACUGGCUGCCUCCCUGGACUGAAGGUGACAGCUCCUGCCAGACAGUUCUCUCUACAUGGCUUUGGGUUCUGGAAACAGCUCCCUUCACUCGCCCCUCCCAACCCUGCUCUGCUCUUCACAGCCCAGGGACUCAACACAGAGCCUUCCACACCACGGGCACUGAAUGCAUCCAGGAAUUAAGGACUGAUUAAGCAUCAGCUGGUUAGAGGAGUGUUGAGCCCUAUAUGGAAAAUGGACCAGCGGAGUAGCUUUCAAAUCUUUUUGGCAAGGCUCAUAGUAAAAAACAUAGCUCAUAUUGUAGUGCAGUAGACACAUACAUAUUUAUAUAUAACUGAAGGAGAAGUUUCUUGAGGCAAUGCUUCCCUUUAUGAUGUGUGAGGCACUGUGAUAUUUUCUACUUAAUUCUACUCUGUUUCAAAUUCGAAUCCUCGUUUUGGUCUGCUAAAUUGAUUUCAUGACCUGAAAAAUGAUUGCAAGCCAUGGCUUAAGAAGCUCUGCCCCGUGACCUUUAGCGUUGCCUCCAUUCUGGAGAGUCUGAUUCAGACGGUAGAAUUCUAAGGCAUCACAAAAGAGAAUGUGACAGUGUCACAGUGCUGAUGCAUUUGGUGGGAGUUGGCUUCAUUGCCUUGAAAAAAUCAAAUGAAAUUGCCAUUCAAUCUUCAGUUUUUCAUAGAAUUUUUACUCAAAGUUGGUCUUUUUUAGGUUUGGCCUAAUUUGGAGGAGGGAGUGGCUCAGAGCUCUUAAAACACGCUGACGUGAUGUGAGCAGUUUUAAGCAUCGGAUUCAAAAAGUCAGUGUCGGGGACCACAAGUCUGAGUGCUCCAGAGCAGGUCUGAAGUGGAAAGCUAAUCUUAUGUGCUUGCCUAAGGGUCCCCGGGUCUCUCCUCUGUGUCCUUGCUGCCACCAGCAGCUCCUUCUCCUCCUAGCAAAAGCAUUUCUUGGUGCCCUGGUUAUAUGUAGAACUCGACCAAGAGGACAACACGGGCCUAUCAGUGUCACCAGGGCCAUGCAAUCCAUUUGCGAUUAGAUAUUGUCUCACUGUUUCAAACUCAGCCCAGGUCUGUGGUCCUCCCCACCUCAAACACUGUAUGAUUCCAUUUUAAAAACUGAGUUCUAUGUUCUCUAAAAUUGACUCUCCGCUCCUAAUUCACCACUUGUCAUUCUCCUGGUAUCUGUCAAGUCAAG